UAAUUCCCCACAUUUCAAACGGUGGAGGAUAAGGGGAAAAUUUCCGAACGCCCAUGGGCCUCCUUCAAACACACGGACAAGAUCAACUUGAUGGAAAAAUUGGAAAAUAAAUCGGCCUCCUCCAAUAUCCUUCAUGAAAACCCCUUUUCCUGGACGCCAAAUACUAGCCAAUCGGCUCCGCAUCAAAUUGAAAUUGAUUGGUUGCUCCGUCAGAAAUCUCCC
RNAcentral lists this long non-coding RNA (222 nucleotides) under Salvia miltiorrhiza (redroot sage). RNAcentral's name for it is "long non-coding RNA (SMIL_LNC011718)". Lineage: Eukaryota; Viridiplantae; Streptophyta; Magnoliopsida; Lamiales; Lamiaceae. The record is from RNAcentral.